Molecule: long non-coding RNA, 503 nt
Organism: Gallus gallus (chicken)
Lineage: Eukaryota; Metazoa; Chordata; Aves; Galliformes; Phasianidae
Source: Ensembl
CACAAAGAGCGCUGGCUACUUUCACCAAUCCCUUCAGACAAAAAGGAAAAAAAAGAGAGAGAAAAAAAAAAAAGCCCUGAUCCUUGUCUUUAUAUCAGUGAGGUUGGAGUUCUUGCUAAUAAAGGAGCUUUUCCCAUGAUGCAGUGUGAUAAGGAUUGGCCUACAUGUAGCCCAGCAAGCCACUGCUGAUGUUUUCUUGAUUAGGUGUCUUAUCUUCCAUUGAGCUGCAUCUGAUGAAGGUUGCUGACGGCGUAAUGGCAGGGAAAGCGUCGGACAGCUCCAUAAAAUGGCAGCUAUGCUAUGACAUGUCAGCCAGGACCUGGUGGAUGUGCACAUGCUGACAUGCUGCAAAGUUCAGGCUGUGCAAAGUUUCAAGCCCCAGCUCGGUGACUCCGCAAGGCUCCCAAAUGCCGCAGCCAGCUAGAUAGUGUUUCUCUGCUAUUGUAGUGGCAUGGGCCUUCUUAGGAAACAGAGGCAAGGACAGCAUGGGAUUUCUCUUUCUC